Molecule: ribosomal RNA, 433 nt
Filed under: uncultured bacterium
Lineage: Bacteria
Description: partial 16S ribosomal RNA
Rfam family: Bacterial small subunit ribosomal RNA
Source: RNAcentral
AACGAACGCUGGCGGCAUGCCUAACACAUGCAAGUCGAACGAGACCUUCGGGUCUAGUGGCGCACGGGUGCGUAACGCGUGGGAACCUGCCCUUAGGUUCGGAAUAACUCCCCGACAGGGGUGCUAAUACCGGAUAAUGUCUUCGGACCAAAGAUUUAUCGCCUUUGGAUGGGCCCGCGUUGGAUUAGCUAGUUGGUAGGGUAAAAGCCUACCAAGGCGACGAUCCAUAGCUGGUCUGAGAGGAUGAUCAGCCACACUGGGACUGAGACACGGCCCAGACUCCUACGGGAGGCAGCAGUGGGGAAUAUUGGACAAUGGGCGAAAGGCUGAUCCAGCAAUGCCGCGUGAGUGAUGAAGGCCUUAGGGUUGUAAAGCUCUUUUAACCGGGAUGAUAAUGACAGUACCGGGAGAAUAAGCUCCGGCUAACUCCGUG